AUUAGACCCGACCGUGCUCCAGGCCCGCGGAGCCCCGCUCGUGCUGCGGCGGCUGGGAUGGGGAAGGGGACGCCCUGAGCCGGGUGAGUCCGCGGCGUGGGCCGCGGGCAGGUGCGCAGGGCCUCCCGGGGUUCCGAGACGCCUCCCCGCAGCCGCCGGGCCUGAGCUCCGAGCAACACGGCGGCGCCGCCCGCUGCUGCCCGGGGCGCAGCCUCCUCCGGGCUGGACCGUCCCGCGGCAACCGGAGCCCCGUUCCUGCUCGCUCUUGCUUCCUCCCUCCUGCCUCUCCUGCCUCUGCCUUCCUGGGGGCGUAGGGGCGGCCGGCGCGGAGCCGGAGGCGAUGCUUACUCCUUCGCCCAGUGUUCGCACCGGCUGUGGCGAGGCCCCUCCGGACUGGAGGGCGGCAUGGGCGGCGGCGGCCGCGGAGCCAUGGAGCGGGAGCCCAGCGGAGGGGAGCGGGCCGGAGGCGGCUGGGGCCGGGCCCUGGCCCGGGCGCGCUCUCCUGCCCUUCCUGGCGGCUCCCUGUACCUGGAGACGCAGCGCCGGAGCCCGCGAUCUGUGGCGAGGCGCAGCAGCUUCGCAGUCCACGUGCGGCCGAGCCGCGUUUGUUUAUGGCGGACCCGCCUUCGGGCGGAGCACUGGCCGCCCGGGUCCCGGAGCUGGGGGGGGGGGGGGGGGGGGGGGGGGGGGGGGGACCGCGGCGGGGGCGGGGGCGGCGAAUCUCGCCUCCGACCCCGCCGCGGUCAUGGAGUCACAGGCGCGCCUCCGCGUCAAUGCCUCCAGGGACUCUCCCGGGAGAGACCCGCGCGCUCCCGGGCUCGGGGAAGUCGCGACGCCAGCGUGAACGCCGCCUCCCGUCUGCUCCUGGUUGGGAUCCUGUCUUCAAGUGCAACAGCCAAGCCAGCUGCCGGCUCCUCUGUGUCCUCAUGGACCAUGCUCUGGGUGUGUGUCUUCCCUGCUGGAUUGAGGAGCUCACUGGGGCAGAGGUGCCUGCAGUCAGCAAAGCACUCAGGAAAUAAUUGCUGGAGAAGGGUGGGGAAGGGACCCCACAUCUCCCCUCUGCCUGCACCUCCUUUCUCCCUGCACCUCACAGCCUCUUGCAGAGAAGUGUGGCCGUGGGACUAGACUCCUGCUGAUGGGGUGUGCGUGGGAAUGUAAGGAAAUGCCGUUUCUGGGUCUGAGACUGACGUCUCUGCGUAGGUCUUGUCUCCUCUGUACUCUUUCCCCUUCCCCUGGCCGGAAGCAAUGGAAGGCAACUGACUUCAGUCAUGUAGACAACAAGAAAGCCAUGGGGAUGGUGGAGGGACAUGGGGAAGGCACUUGGGUUUCUGAGUGACUGUGUGGAGCUGAGCAGCCCUCAGUACUUGGAGCUCUCUGUAAGACAAAGAAACUUCUGUGGUCUAAAGCCACAAGGACUGAGCUUUACCCCAAGAACAGAGCACACACAGUGGAGCACUGUGUCUAAGAAGCAUGAGCACCCACAGCAUGGAGUGUGCCAGAUUGGACAACAGACAUCCCCUAAGAUUGAGUGACUUUAGGAGAGCAGGGAGUUGCUGGCUCAGGCAAGACGGUGCCUUUGGGGAUCCCAGGUGGCAGACAGAGCUUUGCCUAGGUCGAACUGUCCAUGGGCCCGAGGUGCUGGCCAGAGGUGGGGCGGCUGGAGUUCACAGGCCAGGCAGCCAAGGGGUUGGUCCGGCAGGUGAGUCUGCCACCACGGACCCAGGCCUCAGACCGAACAGGCAGGGGCUGCUAAAGUACAGGUCUUCAGGUCAUCUGCAGGCAGGGUCUGGCCUGGACCCCAGGAGUCCACAGGCAGGGAGUGCCCUGGGGAAGAGCUGAGGAUGCUGCAUCAGAAAAGAGACAGGGAGGGUGGGGCAGGCCGGAGCACCCGCACAUGCCCUGCGUGUCAGGCACAUACACAUACACCCAUGACCCUAUUUAAUCUCCAACAGCCCUGACAAAUGGGUGUCAUUGAAGUCAUUGUUAGCACCGUGGCUGUGGCACUGAGUCCAGGAGCCCUGGGUCCUCCUCUCCACAUCACCCUGGUUACAUGGGUAACGCAUUUCUUCAUUGUUUACACCAUGUGAAGUUUGGUUUCUUUCCAUUUAUUUGUCAAAUAAAUGUUUUAAAAUUUAUUUUAAUUUUUUUUAAAAAAUGGGGUCCUGCUCUGUUGCCCAGGCUGCAGUGCAAUGGCAUGAUCACAGCUCACUGCCGCCUCUAACUCCUGGGCUCACACAAUCCUCCUGCCUCAGCCUCCCAAGUAGCUAGAACUACAGGCACAUGCCCCUGUGCUUGGCUAAUUUUUCUUUUUUUUUCUCUUUUUUUGGUAGAGACAGGAUCUUACUAUGUUGGCCAGGCUAGUAUCUAACUUACGGCCUCAAGCAGUCCUCCCACCUCAGCCUCCCAAAGUGCUGGGAUUACAGGCAUGAGCCACCUUGCCUGGCCAACAAAUGUUUUUGAACAUUCACUCUGUGCCUGGAACUACAUACAGUGUAACAGGGGAGGCAGAAUAUUAAACAGUUAACAUGAUAAGUAAUGAAAAUAGUGACUGAGCAUAAAUAGGAUGCUCAGGGGAAGUCUCGUGGAGAAGGUGACAUUCAGUUAGUAACUAAUUCCCUUGGAGAAGGCUAAUGCGAGAACACUGUCUAAAGCAUGCUCUGAGUUCUUCCCAGCAAAAGUUCUUUCUAAGUGGUUCUCAACAGGGGGUGAUUUUGCCUCCCACUCCCAGGGACAUUUGGUAAUGUUCAGAGACAUUUUUUGAUGGUCACAUCUGGAAGGGGUGCUACUGGCAUCUAGUGGGUAGAAGCUAGGGGUGCGGCUAAACAACCCACCACGAAGAAGACAGCCUCCCACGAUGAAGAGUGAUCCAGCUAAAAAUGUGAACAGUACUGGGGUAGAGAACCUGCCCUGGAGGACAGAUGUGCUUUUGCGCAGACACUUAGAAGGCAAGGUGGCUCCAUCUGCCCUUCCCCUCUGCAGCCUGGCUAAAGGGUGGACCACACAUUGUUCGGCAGAGCAGAUGGGAGCGCCUGGCACCCUGGGAUCCCUCAUCCUGGCCGCCGUCUGCCGACAUGGGGGUAAGGAAGAGAAAGAUGAUGAUUUGUACUAACUGGUGCAAUCUACUGCCAAAUCGCCAGGGAAGACGAAUGAAACACAUCUCAAGAAACUCUUGUUUAUGGUGCAGGAAGGGUUUAGUGACUUUACUGCUCAGAUUACCAUUUGGAUAUCAGUUUCAUCAUCGUCAACCUCCAAUUUCCUGUUUUGCUUAUCUUAGAAUGACUUUUUAAAAAAAUGUUUGCACUGCUCAGAUGGCUUUGGCUUCAAGUUGAUUAGAUAUGGAACUGGUUUAUAAUGGAUUAGAAUGCAGGAUUUAUUUGCUUUGUAAUAUUUUAAGAAAGCAAUGAAAGAAGCUGCAAUGACAGGGAGAGAUAUUGUAUACUUACACUCUGAUUCUUUUUUCAUUACCGGAAAAGACAACUAAUUUAGGAAUGUGGAGUAUGGUCGUUGGUCUCUUUUUGAUUUGUGUUUCACUUCAGGGUUUUCCUGAGUUACAAAUCCCUGCAGAUUUGUGAGACUUAAGAGGUACACAUGUACAUUUAGUUUUCUUUUAGCAUUUUUUUUUUUUUUAGCCUGCAGGAUCCCAUGGGUUUUUUUUUUUCCCCUCCUCCUUUCCUUUAUGUGCUUCCUGAUAAGCCAAUCCGUGUACUGCUUUUCCUGCACUGUCUGUGCAGUUGGAAGCAUUAUUCAUAUGAGUCCUGUGAAACCGAUGGCCUGUGGCCCCGGUUGUUAAACACCGACACGCUGCUCAUUAACACUCAGCAUCCGGAUAUCCUAAUUUCAGCUCAGAUUUUGGUAAAUAUAUAUUUUAUUGAUCAUUUCCAACUACCAUGCAAAGCCACAUCCUG
This 3905-nucleotide long non-coding RNA is filed under the name Papio anubis (olive baboon). Its description in RNAcentral is "lncRNA (ENSPANG00000046849.1)". Lineage: Eukaryota; Metazoa; Chordata; Mammalia; Primates; Cercopithecidae. The record is from RNAcentral.